RNAcentral lists this ribosomal RNA (490 nucleotides) under uncultured bacterium. Its description in RNAcentral is "partial 16S ribosomal RNA". It matches the Rfam family "Bacterial small subunit ribosomal RNA", at positions 30 to 507 of the family's 1533-position model. The record is from RNAcentral.
AUUGAACGCUGGCGGCAGGCCUAACACAUGCAAGUCGAACGGGAACAGGAAGACGCUUGCUUCUUUGCUGACGAGUGGCGGACGGGUGAGUAAUGUCUGGGAAACUGCCUGAUGGAGGGGGAUAACUACUGGAAACGGUAGCUAAUACCGCAUAACGUCGCAAGACCAAAAAGGGGGACCUUCGGGCCUCUUGCCAUCGGAUGUGCCCAGAUGGGAUUAGCUAGUAGGUGGGGUAACGGCUCACCUAGGCGACGAUCCCUAGCUGGUCUGAGAGGAUGACCAGACACACUGGAACUGAGACACGGUCCAGACUCCUACGGGAGGCAGCAGUGGGGAAUAUUGCACAAUGGGCGCAAGCCUGAUGCAGCCAUGCCGCGUGUAUGAAGAAGGCCUUCGGGUUGUAAAGUACUUUCAGCGGGGAGGAAGGGAGUAAAGUUAAUACCUUUGCUCAUUGACGUUACCCGCAGAAGAAGCACCGGCUAACUCCGUG